AUUUGAUUACAAUAUUAUGGUUACCAGUAUACAAGCCGGACCUUCAUAGUAUUGGACCUAUACAGGACUAUUUGGAAUAAACUUGCGUUUCUAUGAUUUGGACAUUUCCGUCAUUAAGCACGUUAUUAACAUAUGGACUAUUGUGAUUUAAGCAUCCAGAAUUAAUUCUAGUUUUAAGUAAUUAACAAUUUAAACAAUUUGAAAGAAAACAAGACAUUUUAAAGAAAUUAAUUAUCUUCUACUAUCCUUAGGCACAGAGUCAAAUUUGAAUGGGGGGAGGUCCAGGGAGACUGGUAGUGAUUGGGGGAUUAUUUCACUCGGCCCUUGCUCUGGGCCUGACAAGUUCUACAAUUUGCAGGUUUGGAAAAAUGUGGUUAGUGGUAACGGUGGGGUCUACAGAUGGGUAACUCUGGGACCUCCUCCACCUCAUCUUAUAGAGGGGAGGCCUACACCUGCCAACAGGUGGGGCACUAAUAACUGGAGCAUUGGUAAUACGAGUGUUUUCCCCGGUCACUCCCCAUGGUAGGUGGUGGUGUAACCGUGUUUAACUACCAGGGGUUUUAUGACACUAUGUCAACAUAGGUCAGCUGAUAGCCAUUGUGUAUAGGUAAUCGGUAGUCACCCUGGCGCCUCAACAAAAUAUUAUAAAAUACUCUGUAGCCAAAGUAAUGCC
RNAcentral lists this long non-coding RNA (673 nucleotides) under Mytilus galloprovincialis (Mediterranean mussel). The record is from RNAcentral. Lineage: Eukaryota; Metazoa; Mollusca; Bivalvia; Mytilida; Mytilidae.